UACCCGCAGCACAAGUGGUGGUCAUUAUUAUUGGGCCUAAAGCGUCCGUAGCUGGCCUGUUAGAUGCCUGGGUAAAUCGAUGCGCUCAACGUAUCGAACACCGGGUAGACCGGCAAGCUUGGGACCGGGAGAGACGUGAGCUACUCGAGGGGUAGGGGUAAAAUCCUGUAAUCCUUCGGGGAGGACCAGUGGCGAAGGCGUCACGUUAGAACGGCUCCGACAGUGAGGGACGAAGCCCUGGGGCGCAAACCGG
Molecule: ribosomal RNA, 253 nt
Filed under: uncultured bacterium
Lineage: Bacteria
Description: partial 16S ribosomal RNA
Rfam family: Archaeal small subunit ribosomal RNA
Source: RNAcentral